AUACUACUCCCUCGGUCCGAAAAUGCUUGUCUUAGAGAUGAAUGUUUCUAAAAUUAUUUUAGUUAUAGAUACAUCUAUUAUAUUCAUUUUCGGGACAAGUAUUUUCGGACGGAGGGAGUAUAUA
Molecule: non-coding RNA, 124 nt
Organism: Hordeum vulgare subsp. vulgare (domesticated barley)
Lineage: Eukaryota; Viridiplantae; Streptophyta; Magnoliopsida; Poales; Poaceae
Source: Rfam